Molecule: ribosomal RNA, 926 nt
Filed under: Pseudomonas aeruginosa
Lineage: Bacteria; Pseudomonadati; Pseudomonadota; Gammaproteobacteria; Pseudomonadales; Pseudomonadaceae
Description: bacterial SSU rRNA
Rfam family: Bacterial small subunit ribosomal RNA
Source: RNAcentral
AGAGUUUGAUCAUGGCUCAGAUUGAACGCUGGCGGCAGGCCUAACACAUGCAAGUCGAGCGGAUGAAGGGAGCUUGCUCCUGGAUUCAGCGGCGGACGGGUGAGUAAUGCCUAGGAAUCUGCCUGGUAGUGGGGGAUAACGUCCGGAAACGGGCGCUAAUACCGCAUACGUCCUGAGGGAGAAAGUGGGGGAUCUUCGGACCUCACGCUAUCAGAUGAGCCUAGGUCGGAUUAGCUAGUUGGUGGGGUAAAGGCCUACCAAGGCGACGAUCCGUAACUGGUCUGAGAGGAUGAUCAGUCACACUGGAACUGAGACACGGUCCAGACUCCUACGGGAGGCAGCAGUGGGGAAUAUUGGACAAUGGGCGAAAGCCUGAUCCAGCCAUGCCGCGUGUGUGAAGAAGGUCUUCGGAUUGUAAAGCACUUUAAGUUGGGAGGAAGGGCAGUAAGUUAAUACCUUGCUGUUUUGACGUUACCAACAGAAUAAGCACCGGCUAACUUCGUGCCAGCAGCCGCGGUAAUACGAAGGGUGCAAGCGUUAAUCGGAAUUACUGGGCGUAAAGCGCGCGUAGGUGGUUCAGCAAGUUGAAUGUGAAAUCCCCGGGCUCAACCUGGGAACUGCAUCCAAAACUACUGAGCUAGAGUACGGUAGAGGGUGGUGGAAUUUCCUGUGUAGCGGUGAAAUGCGUAGAUAUAGGAAGGAACACCAGUGGCGAAGGCGACCACCUGGACUGAUACUGACACUGAGGUGCGAAAGCGUGGGGAGCAAACAGGAUUAGAUACCCUGGUAGUCCACGCCGUAAACGAUGUCGACUAGCCGUUGGGAUCCUUGAGAUCUUAGUGGCGCAGCUAACGCGAUAAGUCGACCGCCUGGGGAGUACGGCCGCAAGGUUAAAACUCAAAUGAAUUGACGGGGGCCCGCACAAG